Long non-coding RNA from Entelurus aequoreus (snake pipefish), 1626 nucleotides. RefSeq lists it as uncharacterized. The record is from RefSeq and is a predicted model, not a curated record. NCBI's taxonomy places the organism in Eukaryota, Metazoa, Chordata, Actinopteri, Syngnathiformes, Syngnathidae. The transcript is spliced from 5 exons.
GACUAAUAACAAUGUCCAAAAUUCUCCUACAUUAAAAUGUUUAUGUAUUUAUUGAUAGUACGGAAAAGUAGUACAAAUACGAUAACUAUUAUACGUCUGGCAAUCCUGGCAGUGGAGAAGUCAAGUGAACGCAAGCUAACAAAAAACGAGCAACAUCAUAGGACCGCCGUCCUCCUGUAGGAAUCCCCGUCCUUACUCUGGCUGCUCAGGGUGGACGUGCAGGCCGUUCUCAGUGCGGGUGACGCUGUUGCUCUCCCAGAAGCUCUUUUGCAGCUGCUCCACUUCCGACACCAGCGGGAGGCUGAUGUCCAAGUGCAUCUUCAGGUUCUCCAACCACUCCUCCAGUUUGGAAAAGGGCGGGCUACGGAAACAAACGGAAAUGAAUGAGGGAGGUUCCAUCCUGUGAUGACACCUUAACCUCAGAGGACACCUCUGCUGUCAUCGCACGGAUCUUUUUAUGAGCCCAACCGGAGGUACAGGAGAAUCUGCCCACCUCUUUCAGGAAUGUUCUUUGUGUCUCGUCGUCAAAGCGGAUCAGCUCCUUCAUCACCAUCACCUCGCCCGUCACCCUGUGGGUCACCUGAAGGUACUCCGGCUUCCUCCCACCUCCAAAAACAUGCACCUGGGGAUAGGCCCCUCCCACCUCCAAAGACAUGCAUCUGGGGAUAGGCCCCUCCCACCUCCAAAGACAUGCACCUGGGGAUAGGCCCCUCCCACCUCCAAAGACAUGCACCUGGGGAUAGGCCCCUCCCACCUCCAAAGACAUGCACCUGGGGAUAGGUUGAUUGGCAACACUAAAUAGGCCCUAGUGUGUGAAUGUGAGUGUGAAUGUUGUCUGUGUUGGCCCUGUGAUGAGGUGGCCACUUGUCCAGGGUGUACCCCGCCUUCCGCCCGAAUGCAGCUGGGAUAGGCUCCAGCACUACCCGCGGCCAUAGCAGGACGACGGUAGAAAAUGGAUGGAUGGAUGUUGAAAUAAAGAUUUUUAUAAUUGCCAUGACCUUCAUUACCUUCUAUUUACCAUCUUUGACGUUCUUUUACGUCUAUGUUUCCUCUUCUUUUUUAAUCUUUUAUUCACCUUGUAUAACACUAACUUUUAUUUAUUUUUUAUCUUAAUUUCCCAUUUAUUUACCUUCCGUUUAACAUAUUUGGCCUUCUAUCUUCCUUCUUUUAAUUUUUAUGUGCCUUCCACUUUCCUUUAAUUUACUAUUUGUACCUCCUAUUUAAAUUAUUUUACCUUUUACUUGCCUUCUCUUACUUUUUAUUUACCUUCUUCUAUCUUCUAUUUAACUUGUUUUGCCUUUUAUAGUUCUUUUAACUUUUAUUUACCUUAGAUUUUUUUUACCUUUAAUAUACUACUUUUACCUUCUAUUUACUUUCUUUACCUUCUAUUUACUUAUUUACCUUUUAUUUACUUAUUUUACCUUCUAUAUUCCAUCUUUUACCUUUUAUUUACCUUCUUUUAUAAUGUAUUUACCUUCUUUUACCAUUAAUUUACUUAUUUUACCUUCCAUAUAUUCCUUAUUUUACCUUUUAUUUACCUUCUUUUACAUUUUAUUUACCUUCUUUUACCGUUUAUUUACUUUUCCCCCAAUAACCCUUUUACUUGCCCUCUCAAACAUUGAUUGA